This 191-nucleotide ribosomal RNA is filed under the name uncultured Streptococcaceae bacterium. RNAcentral's name for it is "partial 16S ribosomal RNA". It matches the Rfam family "Bacterial small subunit ribosomal RNA", at positions 148 to 334 of the family's 1533-position model. Lineage: Bacteria; Bacillati; Bacillota; Bacilli; Lactobacillales; Streptococcaceae. The record is from RNAcentral.
AAUUGGAAACGAUAGCUAAUACCGCAUAAGAGUAGAUGUUGCAUGACAUUUGCUUAAAAGGUGCAAUUGCAUCACUACCAGAUGGACCUGCGUUGUAUUAGCUAGUUGGUGAGGUAACGGCUCACCAAGGCGACGAUACAUAGCCGACCUGAGAGGGUGAUCGGCCACACUGGGACUGAGACGCGGCCCAG